UACGUAGGGGGCUAGCGUUGUCCGGAAUCAUUGGGCGUAAAGCGCGUGUAGGCGGAUUGUUAAGUCAGGGGUGAAAUCCUGGAGCUCAACUCCAGAACUGCCUUUGAUACUGGCGAUCUCGAGUCCGGGAGAGGUGAGUGGAACUGCGAGUGUAGAGGUGAAAUUCGUAGAUAUUCGCAAGAACACCAGUGGCGAAGGCGGCUCACUGGCCCGGUACUGACGCUGAGGUGCGAAAGCGUGGGGAGCAAACAGG
This 253-nucleotide ribosomal RNA is filed under the name uncultured bacterium. RNAcentral describes it as "partial 16S ribosomal RNA". It matches the Rfam family "Bacterial small subunit ribosomal RNA", at positions 524 to 776 of the family's 1533-position model. The record is from RNAcentral.